This 263-nucleotide unclassified non-coding RNA is filed under the name Hevea brasiliensis (rubber tree). Lineage: Eukaryota; Viridiplantae; Streptophyta; Magnoliopsida; Malpighiales; Euphorbiaceae. The record is from RNAcentral.
AGCGGCCGGGGCUCUGGAUUCUCGGCAAGCAGGCUAUUGAUGAUGACUGCAACCAAACAGGGCAGAUGGUUGCUGGAUUGCUCAAGUGGCCACAAGGAACCUUUGCCUCAAAGGUCAUAUUGGACAAAGAAAAACAGGUAGCAACAGUGGAAAGAGAGGUUGAUGGUGGUCUUGAGACAAUCUGUCUUGAUCUACCUGCCGUGAUCACCACGGAUUUGAGAUUAAAUCAGCCAAGAUACGCAACACUCCCCAACAUAAUGAAA